GACGAACGCUGUCGGCGUGCUUAACACAUGCAAGUCGAACGGAAAGGCCUCUUUUGGGGGGUGCUCGCGUGGCGAAAGGGUGAGUAACACGUGAGUAACCUGUCCUCUACAUUGGGGUAAAUUCAGGAGAAUGGGGCUAAUACCGGGUAGGAGCCCCUGCUGCAGGGUGGGGGGUGGAAAGUUUCGGCGGUUGGGGAUGGGCUCGCGGCUUAUCAGCUUGUUGGUGGGGUAGUGGCUUACCAAGGCGUUGACGGGUAGCCGGCCUGAGAGGGUGAACGGCCACAUUUGGGCCUGGAUUCGGGCCAGACUUCCUCGGGGGGCAGGAGUUGGGAAAUUUGCCCAAUGGGUGGAAGCCUUGUUCAAGCACGCCGUGUGGGGGGUGACGGCCUUCGGGUUGGAAACCGCCUUCGCCCAUGGCGAAGCUUUGUGUGACGGUAGUGGGUAAAGAAGCACCGGCUAACUACGUG
RNAcentral lists this ribosomal RNA (467 nucleotides) under uncultured bacterium. RNAcentral describes it as "partial 16S ribosomal RNA". It matches the Rfam family "Bacterial small subunit ribosomal RNA", at positions 28 to 507 of the family's 1533-position model. The record is from RNAcentral.